RNAcentral lists this unclassified non-coding RNA (364 nucleotides) under uncultured Helotiales. RNAcentral describes it as "sequence contains ITS2". The stretch from base 1 to 154 matches the Rfam family "5.8S ribosomal RNA". Lineage: Eukaryota; Fungi; Ascomycota; Leotiomycetes; Helotiales. The record is from RNAcentral.
AACUUUUAACAACGUAUCUCUUGGUUCUGGCAUCGAUUAAGAACGCAGCGAAAUGCGAUAAGUAAUGUGAAUUGCAGAAUUCAGUGAAUCAUCGAAUCUUUGAACGCACAUUGCGCCCUGUGGUAUUCCGUAGGGCAUGCCUGUUCGAGCGUCAGUACAACACUCAAGCUCAGCUUGGUCUUGAGCCCGGCCGGUUACGGCGGGCUUUAAAAUCAGUGGCGGCGCCAUCUGGCUCUAAGCGUAGUAAUACUCCUCGCUAUUGAGUCCCGGUGGAUGCUGGCCAGCAAACCCCCAACUUUCUAAGUUUGACCUCGGAUCAGGUAGGGAUACCCGCUGAACUUAAGCAUAUCAAUAAGCGGAGGCU